GGUGAACGCUGGCGGCGUGCCUAACACAUGCAAGUCGAGCGGUGCAGUUUGAAGCUUCGGUGGAUAGCUGCAUAGCGGCGGACGGGUGAGGAAAACGUAGGAACGUGCCCCUUGGAGUUGGAUAGCCACGGGAAACUGUGGGUAAACCGACAUAGACUCGAGAGAGUAAAGGCCGAAAGGCGCCAAGGGAGCGGCCUGCGGCCCAUCAGGUAGUUGGUAGUGUAAAGGACUACCAAGCCGACGACGGGUAGCCGGUCUGAGAGGAUGGCCGGCCACAAGGGCACUGAGAGACGGGCCCUACUCCUACGGGAGGCAGCAGUGGGGGAUUUUGGACAAUGGGCGAAAGCCUGAUCCAGCGACGCCGCGUGGAGGACGAAGCCCUUCGGGGUGUAAACUCCUUUUCUCAGGGAAAAAAGAUGAUGGUACCUGAGGAAUAAGCCCCGGCUAACUACGUG
Molecule: ribosomal RNA, 455 nt
Filed under: uncultured bacterium
Lineage: Bacteria
Description: bacterial SSU rRNA
Rfam family: Bacterial small subunit ribosomal RNA
Source: RNAcentral